UUAAGCGACUAAGCGUACACGGUGGAUGCCCUGGCAGUCAGAGGCGAUGAAGGACGUGCUAAUCUGCGAAAAGCGUCGGUAAGGUGAUAUGAACCGUUACAGCCGGCGAUGUCCGAAUGGGGAAACCCAGUGCAAUUCGUUGCACUAUCGUUAACUGAAUACAUAGGUUAACGAGGCGAACCGGGGGAACUGAAACAUCUAAGUACCCCGAGGAAAAGAAAUCAACCGAGAUUCCCCCAGUAGCGGCGAGCGAACGGGGAGCAGCCCAGAGUCUGAAUCAGCUUGUGUGUUAGUGGAACGGUCUGGAAAGUCCGACGGUACAGGGUGAUAGUCCCGUACACCAAAAUGCACAGGUUGUGAACUCGAAGAGUAGGGCGGGACACGUGGUAUCCUGUCUGAAUAUGGGGGGACCAUCCUCCAAGGCUAAAUACUCCUGACUGACCGAUAGUGAACCAGUACCGUGAGGGAAAGGCGAAAAGAACCCCGGCGAGGGGAGUGAAAAAGAACCUGAAACCGUGUACGUACAAGCAGUGGGAGCACCUUCGGGUGUGACUGCGUACCUUUUGUAUAAUGGGUCAGCGACUUAUAUUCUGUAGCAAGGUUAACCGUAUAGGGGAGCCGCAGGGAAACCGAGUCUUAACUGGGCGUUAAGUUGCAGGGUAUAGACCCGAAACCCGGUGAUCUAGCCAUGGGCAGGUUGAAGGUUGGGUAACACUAACUGGAGGACCGAACCGACUAAUGUUGAAAAAUUAGCGGAUGACUUGUGGCUGGGGGUGAAAGGCCAAUCAAACCGGGAGAUAGCUGGUUCUCCCCGAAAGCUAUUUAGGUAGCGCCUCGUGAACUCAUCUUCGGGGGUAGAGCACUGUUUCGGCUAGGGGGUCAUCCCGACUUACCAACCCGAUGCAAACUACGAAUACCGAAGAAUGUUAUCACGGGAGACACACGGCGGGUGCUAACGUCCGUCGUGAAGAGGGAAACAACCCAGACCGCCAGCUAAGGUCCCAAAGUCAUGGUUAAGUGGGAAACGAUGUGGGAAGGCACAGACAGCCAGGAUGUUGGCUUAGAAGCAGCCAUCAUUUAAAGAAAGCGUAAUAGCUCACUGGUCGAGUCGGCCUGCGCGGAAGAUGUAACGGGGCUAAACCAUGCACCGAAGCUGCGGCAGCGACACUAUGUGUUGUUGGGUAGGGGAGCGUUCUGUAAGCCUGCGAAGGUGUGCUGUGAGGCAUGCUGGAGGUAUCAGAAGUGCGAAUGCUGACAUAAGUAACGAUAAAGCGGGUGAAAAGCCCGCUCGCCGGAAGACCAAGGGUUCCUGUCCAACGUUAAUCGGGGCAGGGUGAGUCGACCCCUAAGGCGAGGCCGAAAGGCGUAGUCGAUGGGAAACAGGUUAAUAUUCCUGUACUUGGUGUUACUGCGAAGGGGGGACGGAGAAGGCUAUGUUAGCCGGGCGACGGUUGUCCCGGUUUAAGCAUGUAGGCUGGUUAUCCAGGCAAAUCCGGAUAAUCAAGGCUGAGGUGUGAUGACGAGGCACUACGGUGCUGAAGUAACAAAUGCCCUGCUUCCAGGAAAAGCCUCUAAGCAUCAGGUAACAUCAAAUCGUACCCCAAACCGACACAGGUGGUCAGGUAGAGAAUACCAAGGCGCUUGAGAGAACUCGGGUGAAGGAACUAGGCAAAAUGGUGCCGUAACUUCGGGAGAAGGCACGCUGGUGUGUAGGUGAAGCCCCUGCGGGUGGAGCUGAGACCAGUCGAAGAUACCAGCUGGCUGCAACUGUUUAUUAAAAACACAGCACUGUGCAAACACGAAAGUGGACGUAUACGGUGUGACGCCUGCCCGGUGCCGGAAGGUUAAUUGAUGGGGUUAUCCGUAAGGAGAAGCUCUUGAUCGAAGCCCCGGUAAACGGCGGCCGUAACUAUAACGGUCCUAAGGUAGCGAAAUUCCUUGUCGGGUAAGUUCCGACCUGCACGAAUGGCGUAAUGAUGGCCAGGCUGUCUCCACCCGAGACUCAGUGAAAUUGAACUCGCUGUGAAGAUGCAGUGUACCCGCGGCAAGACGGAAAGACCCCGUGAACCUUUACUAUAGCUUGACACUGAACAUUGAGCCUUGAUGUGUAGGAUAGGUGGGAGGCUUUGAAGCGUGGACGCCAGUCUGCGUGGAGCCAACCUUGAAAUACCACCCUUUAAUGUUUGAUGUUCUAACGUUGGCCCCUGACCGGGGUUGCGGACAGUGUCUGGUGGGUAGUUUGACUGGGGCGGUCUCCUCCCAAAGCGUAACGGAGGAGCACGAAGGUUAGCUAAUCCUGGUCGGACAUCAGGAGGUUAGUGCAAUGGCAUAAGCUAGCUUGACUGCGAGCGUGACGGCGCGAGCAGGUGCGAAAGCAGGUCAUAGUGAUCCGGUGGUUCUGAAUGGAAGGGCCAUCGCUCAACGGAUAAAAGGUACUCCGGGGAUAACAGGCUGAUACCGCCCAAGAGUUCAUAUCGACGGCGGUGUUUGGCACCUCGAUGUCGGCUCAUCACAUCCUGGGGCUGAAGUAGGUCCCAAGGGUAUGGCUGUUCGCCAUUUAAAGUGGUACGCGAGCUGGGUUUAGAACGUCGUGAGACAGUUCGGUCCCUAUCUGCCGUGGGCGCUGGAGAAUUGAGGGGGGCUGCUCCUAGUACGAGAGGACCGGAGUGGACGCAUCACUGGUGUUCGGGUUGUCAUGCCAAUGGCACUGCCCGGUAGCUAAAUGCGGAAGAGAUAAGUGCUGAAAGCAUCUAAGCACGAAACUUGCCCCGAGAUGAGUUCUCCCUGAGACUAUAAGUCUCCUGAAGGAACGUUAAAGACGAUGACGUUGAUAGGCCGGGUGUGUAAGCGCAGCGAUGCGUUGAGCUAACCGGUACUAAUGAACCGUGAGGCUUAACCUU
RNAcentral lists this ribosomal RNA (2900 nucleotides) under Klebsiella pneumoniae. RNAcentral describes it as "bacterial LSU rRNA". It matches the Rfam family "Bacterial large subunit ribosomal RNA". The record is from RNAcentral. Lineage: Bacteria; Pseudomonadati; Pseudomonadota; Gammaproteobacteria; Enterobacterales; Enterobacteriaceae.